UUCACAUCCUAGGGCAAUUAAUUUGUUUUACAGAUAAUGACUAUUAGUUGGGCCAUACGAAGCACCAGUUUUUACUCUGGAUGCCAUGUAAGUGAAAUAUAGUGUGCUUUCUAUAAUUUGGUUUUUGAUUUAUCGUUUCAGUUUUGUGCAUGUUUUCCUUCAUAUUGAAAACUGCAUGAUAUUCUGUAGCUUCUUUAGCAAGAGUAUUCUCUGGAUAUACUGCCCAUAAGAAAAUGUACUUUCUAUUGAUUAGCGCUUAAGGAAACCAUGGCUGUCCUCAAGGAAAACAUUAAUGAAGACGAGUUUGAGAGCUUCACACAGAAACAAGCAUAAAAAAGGCUUCAGGUUUUGGGAGCUGCACACGGAAACAAGCAUCAAGAGCACUUCUUUGUACUGCUAAUCCUAACAUGUAGAACUUUGUUUUCAGUUGCUUUACCAUGUAAUUUUCAUUUGUUUGAUCACCCUAAAUAUAUUGUUCUGCAUAUGG
Molecule: long non-coding RNA, 487 nt
Organism: Lolium rigidum
Lineage: Eukaryota; Viridiplantae; Streptophyta; Magnoliopsida; Poales; Poaceae
Exons: 2
Source: RefSeq, a predicted model, not a curated record